AAUAGAUACCCGGUAGUCCACGCCGUAAACGAUGAGUGCUAAGUGUUAGAGGGUUUCCGCCCUUUAGUGCUGCAGCAAACGCAUUAAGCACUCCGCCUGGGGAGUACGGCCGCAAGGCUGAAACUCAAAGGAAUUGACGGGGGCCCGCACAAGCGGUGGAGCAUGUGGUUUAAUUCGAAGCAACGCGAAGAACCUUACCAGGUCUUGACAUCCCCUGACAACCCUAGAGAUAGGGCGUUCCCCUUCGGGGGACAGGGUGACAGGUGGUGCAUGGUUGUCGUCAGCUCGUGUCGUGAGAUGUUGGGUUAAGUCCCGCAACGAGCGCAACCCUUGAUCUUAGUUGCCAGCAUUCAGUUGGGCACUCUAAGGUGACUGCCGGUGACAAACCGGAGGAAGGUGGGGAUGACGUCAAAUCAUCAUGCCCCUUAUGACCUGGGCUACACACGUGCUACAAUGGAUGGUACAAAGGGCUGCAAAACCGCGAGGUUAAGCGAAUCCCAUAAAACCAUUCUCAGUUCGGAUUGCAGG
Molecule: ribosomal RNA, 528 nt
Filed under: uncultured bacterium
Lineage: Bacteria
Description: bacterial SSU rRNA
Rfam family: Bacterial small subunit ribosomal RNA
Source: RNAcentral